GAGAGAGAGAGAGAGAGAGUGACUAAUGUUGAUAGAUAUUAAAUGUGAGAGUUAUGAAUUUAUGAGGGUAGUUGACGGGCUUUUACUGGUUUCAUCCAUUAUUAAAACCAACGGGGAAUCGAAGGCCGUCGCUCGCCGCAAUAACGAACUGCGCCCACUCUCAGGUGAGAAUAUGCGGCGGCGAAGUCAAUGCGAUGCUCCAGUUGACUUCGUUCUCCUGUCAAGUCGGAUU
Long non-coding RNA from Juglans microcarpa x Juglans regia, 232 nucleotides. RefSeq lists it as uncharacterized. Lineage: Eukaryota; Viridiplantae; Streptophyta; Magnoliopsida; Fagales; Juglandaceae. The record is from RefSeq and is a predicted model, not a curated record. The transcript has 3 exons.